CGUACACUCCUGCGGGAGGCAGCAGUGGGGAAUAUUGGACAAUGGGCGCAAGCCUGAUCCAGCCAUGCCGCGUGAGUGAUGAAGGCCCUAGGGUUGUAAAGCUCUUUCACCGGAGAAGAUAAUGACGGUAUCCGGAGAAGAAGCCCCGGCUAACUUCGUGCCAGCAGCCGCGGUAAUACGAAGGGGGCUAGCGUUGUUCGGAAUUACUGGGCGUAAAGCGCACGUAGGCGGAUCGAUCAGUCAGGGGUGAAAUCCCAGGGCUCAACCCUGGAACUGCCUUUGAUACUGUCGAUCUGGAGUAUGGAAGAGGUGAGUGGAAUUCCGAGUGUAGAGGUGAAAUUCGUAGAUAUUCGGAGGAACACCAGUGGCGAAGGCGGCUCACUGGUCCAUUACUGACGCUGAGGUGCGAAAGCGUGGGGAGCAAACAGGAUUAGAAACCCCAGUAGUCCCAUGA
Molecule: ribosomal RNA, 454 nt
Filed under: uncultured organism
Description: partial 16S ribosomal RNA
Rfam family: Bacterial small subunit ribosomal RNA
Source: RNAcentral